This 71-nucleotide transfer RNA is filed under the name Marmota monax (woodchuck). RNAcentral's name for it is "tRNA.Ala". Lineage: Eukaryota; Metazoa; Chordata; Mammalia; Rodentia; Sciuridae. The record is from RNAcentral.
GAGGUUGUGGCUCAGAGGUGGAGUGCUCGCCUAGCAUGCAUGAGGCACUGGGCUCGAUCCUCAGCACCACA